Molecule: long non-coding RNA, 1636 nt
Organism: Camelus dromedarius (Arabian camel)
Lineage: Eukaryota; Metazoa; Chordata; Mammalia; Artiodactyla; Camelidae
Source: Ensembl
GGGACCCACCGGCCCAACGCAAGGGCGCUCCCCGGCGCCUCUGCGCCGUCCGCGCGCCGCCCUCCUCUGGGCCCUAAUCGUGUUCCCAAGCGCAGUGCGCACGCGCGCGCUUCGCCCCAGGCGUCCAGCUUUGUGCCUGAUCGCUGUCUCCACGGCCGCGUCCGGGGGGUAGCGUUUAACCCGGGCUGGUCUUCGGGGAAGAGCAGCGUGUCCCCCGGACCCAGCGCGCCGCUGGGCCUCAGCGGCGAGAGGGCCCGGGGGGCCGGGCCUGCGGGUGUCGGGCGGCGCGUCGGGCAGCCCACGCGGGCGGGGCGGGCCCCCAACUCGGGCCUGGGCGUCGGUCGCCGGUGGGGCCGGAGCCCGGGUGGAGCCCCUGGCAGGACAGUGAGCAGAGCAGCACGCCCAAACUGACGACUUACGAAUACAGUGUGCUUAAGGUCCUGAGAGUCCAGGAGCUCUGAGGUGAAGAUUGACACUUUACCUGACGCAGUGCCAAAGCCCAAGCCACGGGACGUUAAAGAUAGUAGUUAACGGUAACUGUUUUCAAAAGGCGUUUUGUGCUCAAAUAUGUUUAGAAACUUCAUGGUUAGGGUUUUCUCUGCUGUAGAAUGUUUCAGUUUUCAAUAUGCUGAUGAUAUUUACCUUGAACUUCCCACUGGAAGUAAACAGUAUGGAGAGUUUCCCAGAUUUGAAUGGAAAAUACUGUUUUUCUUGGGCACUGCUUCUGUUUAACAUAUGAAACGGUUUGGGAAAUGGAGUUCCAGCAUCGGCAACUCAAGAUUUGGAAGGGUGUAGUGUAGGUCAGUGCUUUUUGAACUUUAGUGGCGCAUGCUUAUGCCUGAGCUAGCCUGCUGGAAAAUGAGAAAGCCUGGACACCCUGUCACUUAGCCAACCGGACAACAUGUGGAAAGGCUGAGACCAAAGGGGCUGCCCAGCCCAGCUCAGCCUAAGCUGCUGACCCACAGACUCAUGAGCUAAAAAGAGUUUAUUAUUAAUUUUUGGUUGUUUUUUAUGCAACAUUCUCGUGGCACUAGAUAAAUGAAACAGUAGCAACCCCGAAAAAGACUGAAUAGAGCAGAGCCAUUACAUCCACCAACGCCGUCGGGUUCCCAAAGCGAUUAGGUUUUUCUGUGCUGUCACGUGAGACUUCCGGGUUUGCACGUUACUGUAGUGGAGCCAGUCCUUCCUGACUGAUCCACAGGAAGCAGAUCACAGGCCCCCUGCCUGCCCCAGUGCCUCAGAGACCUGAGCAGAGGGGAGGCGGUAGGUAAACUGGAAGCAAGGGAGAGCGACUAGCCUGUAGAUCAUGGAGAAGAAGAACUGGCCCGUCUUCUGGAAGCCCACGCGCUGGUAGAGGGCCAGGGCGGAGUACUGCAGCGCACUGGUGCUGAGGACCACUUCACGGUAGCCCUGGUCCCGUGCGAACUGCAGGACCGCCCUGACCAGUGCUUUUGCGAUCCCCUGACCGCGGUGCUCCGAGGCCCCACAGGUGAAACAGCUCCAACUGCUCCUUUCGCACGGCGUGCUUCUUGACAGGCAGUGCUCCCACCAUGCCCACCACCUGCCCCUCGGACUCCGCCACCCAGAAGCAGGAGCCACUCUCACUGAAGUAGGAUUUGCUGAUGUCAGACAUGUC